GCGCGGUUAGCUCAAUUGGUAGAGCGCGUCAUUGACGUUGACGAUGUUGCAGGUUCAAGUCCUGCACCGCGCA
Molecule: transfer RNA, 73 nt
Filed under: bacterium
Lineage: Bacteria
Description: tRNA-Val
Rfam family: tRNA
About the family: Transfer RNA (tRNA) molecules are approximately 80 nucleotides in length. Their secondary structure includes four short double-helical elements and three loops (D, anti-codon, and T loops). Further hydrogen bonds mediate the characteristic L-shaped molecular structure. tRNAs have two regions of fundamental functional importance: the anti-codon, which is responsible for specific mRNA codon recognition, and the 3' end, to which the tRNAs corresponding amino acid is attached (by aminoacyl-tRNA synthetases). tRNAs cope with the degeneracy of the genetic code in two manners: having more than one tRNA (with a specific anti-codon) for a particular amino acid; and 'wobble' base-pairing, i.e. permitting non-standard base-pairing at the 3rd anti-codon position.
Source: RNAcentral